CAGAGAGAGAGAUUACAGUUGGAGAUAAACGUGUGGUAAAUAAAUUUGUAUUAAAAUUGGGGAUGUGCCAAUGGGAAGUGUUUGUGAACAGCCUUUCAAAUGUGUUUCCCCUAUUGCUGGGAGUUUAGGGUUUGUUUCCUGGAGAGAGAGAGAGACAAAGUGGCCUAUAUGAAAUUGUGUAAUUGUAAAAAAUUAGUUGACAUCAUGAGUAGUUUUAAAGCACAAUUUCUGUUACAUUUACAGCAUUUAACAGAUAAAGUCAUCAUGUUAGAUAAGAAAAAGGAAUAUAAUGACAGUUCUUUAUCUCAUCUCUGUGUUUAUCCAGUCUAACGAAGUGCCUUUCUCCUUAUUUUAGUUUAGUACAGUAUGCUGGUUCGACUGGGCGAUUGAAAGAGUCAGAAAGGUUCGUUUUUAAAAGAUCAUCUCUUUUGCUAUGUUUUUUAUCACAAUGUGUAGUCUAGUGUCUUGGAGGAAGCAUGAGUAAGCAACACUCUCCCUGGUUAAAACUUGUUUUACACACUACUUGUCUUUCAAAUACUCAGAAUCGCUGACAGUUUUACAUGUCUGCUUGCAGACGAGGCAACUUAUAGUGUAAAAAAACAGCUUUUAAAGAAGUUCUUAUACGUAAUAGUGUGUGCAGAUAACAAUCAUGCUGUGUUUAUUUUUUUGCUCUUGUUAUCACCCAAAUGGGUGUGACAUACUAAAUAAUGUUAUACAGACAAGUUAUAGCCAAUAUUAACAUUUUGUUUUCCUGCUCCCACACAAACAGAUGAAUAAUAAACUAAGUAUUCUUUAUACUUUAUAUUGGAAUGAUAAUUAUACUCUCACUAUCCUAUUCAUUAGCAACAGCUGUACUGUACCUUCAUGCAGUUAUCUGAUCAGCCAAGUAUGUGUGUUAUUAAACAUCAGCAUCUGUGAUAUCUGUGAUAUCUGUGAUAUCUGUGAUCUCUGUGGAUGUUACUGUCAUAUCGGUUUGAGUAUUUCAGACAGUAUUGAUCAAGAUAUUACACAGAAUAUUAGGGGAAGAUACAUAGUGUGUGUGACAGUUUCUGCAGGUGGAAACACCUUGUUGAAUGUAUAGUUCAGAGGAAAAUAUCCAGAGUGGAUCGAACUGCAUGGAACUACUCAGAAGAAAAGCAUCACAGCACGACAUACUGAACAUUAAGUUUGGUGAAACUGCGCACAGACCCUGGUGUAACUGAAUCGACCGACUUACAGACACGAGGACACCCAGUCAACAAAGACACCUGGUGAAGAUCUCAUCCUCCCCUCCUCUCUCCGUCCACAGAUGAUUCUUGUCCCUCACCAUGUGUUAAAUACAGUUAAAGACCUUCUCCUGAAUGAACUUGUUUUUAUGCCCCGCCAUUCUCAAAUAGUGAAGAGUACAGCAACCCAACAAUGGAACAGCCUUUUAAUGAGUGUUUAGUACUCAGACACAGUCUCUGCCUCAGUGUUUAGAUCUAGGCUAUCAAACAAGGAGCAGAUCUGGAGUGUUCAUGGGUAUAGUGUUUUGGUGAACUCAACCCUCAAUUACUCAGCUGUAUAAAAAAAAAGAGAUAAUGUAAGUCGCUCUGGAUAAGGGUGUCUGCCAAAUGCUGUAAAUGUGUAGCUUUUGAGGAUCUUUUGGUCUACUUCACUUU
This is a long non-coding RNA of Tachysurus fulvidraco (yellow catfish), 1640 nucleotides long. RefSeq lists it as uncharacterized. The record is from RefSeq and is a predicted model, not a curated record. The transcript is spliced from 4 exons. NCBI's taxonomy places the organism in Eukaryota, Metazoa, Chordata, Actinopteri, Siluriformes, Bagridae.